This 1560-nucleotide unclassified non-coding RNA is filed under the name Anneissia japonica. RNAcentral's name for it is "protein O-mannosyl-transferase TMTC4-like, transcript variant X1". Lineage: Eukaryota; Metazoa; Echinodermata; Crinoidea; Comatulida; Comatulidae. The record is from RNAcentral.
AUUAUCUUCAUCAUCCUCCAGUUAGCUUCUGUAGCAGUAGAAUGUUGCUGGCCAUGUUAGCUUGUGUAAUGGCCAUGCUUUGCAAAGAACAAGGUUUAACGGUCAUCGGGCUAUGCAGUGCCUAUGAUAUAAUUGUUUCAUGCCAACUCACACCACGCAAUAUAUUGAGGGCGCUAUUUACACAUCAUGACUGUAGCAAUAUAAAAGACAAAUUGUCUUCUAAAUCACCUUGGAUACAGUCACUAGUAAAGCGCCAUCUGAUUCUACUUAUCUCAGGUAUCGUUAUGGUAACAGGCCGGUAUUUUAUUAUGGGAUCUCUGCCGACCUUUCAGCCAGUAGACAAUCCGGCAUCAUUUGCUGAGAGUCUUAUAGUUCGAAUAACAAAUUAUAACUACAUCUACUCAAUUAAUGGUUGGUUGCUUAUGCAGCCUAGCUGGUUGUGUUUUGACUGGGCAAUGGGCUGUAUAAGCCUCAUACAGACUGCAUCAGAUCCUCGUCUCCUGGCUGUCUUGGUGUUCUGGUUCAGUCUAGGAAUGAUUUUAUACAAAGUGAUAGUCAGUCCUCCAAGCCAGAAUCAAAGAGUAUUAGCAAUAGGUUUAGCUGCACUCAUCAUCCCAUUCCUGCCAGCGAGCAAUAUUUUCUUCCGGGUCGGAUUUGUGAUAGCUGAGCGUGUCUUGUAUCUGCCCAGCCUAGGUUUUGCCAUCAUUGUAACAUUAGGGUUUAACUGUAUCUGUACAGCAAAGCCAAAACUUCAAACGGUUGUAUUUAUUGGAAUUUCUUGUCUGCUUUGCUCCCACAUUCUGCGGUGUGUCCAACGCAACCGUGACUGGCUGACAGAAGAUUCUCUGUACUACUCUGGCUUAACUGUUUGUCCAAACAACGCCAAGGUCCAUUAUAACAUUGCGAAAAGUGCUGCAGAUAAAGGCAACAUUGAUGAGGCUAUUCAUAGGUAUCGCACUGCUAUUCAGCUUAGUCCUGGGUAUGGACAUGCUAUGAAUAACCUGGCAAAUAUUUUGAAAGACAGGGGGGAGAACACUGAGGCAGAAAAGCUGCUCAAGAACGCUGUAGCAAUACGGCCGGAGUUUGCAGCAGCCUGGAUGAAUCUUGGCAUUCUACAGGCGGCCAUGAAGAAAUAUGACCUAGCCGAGACUAGCUACCUGACAGCGUUGAUGCACAGAAGAAAAUACCCAGAUUGUUACUUCAAUUUGGGAAAUCUGUUUCUCGACCUGCAUCGUCACGAUGAUGCACUGCAAGCAUGGUUAAAUGCAUCAUCUCUGCAGCAAGAUCAUGCCCAGGCUUGGAGCAAUACUAUACUACUGCUUGACAACCUAGUUCCUUGCGAAACGUCAUUUGGAUAAAGCCACAGCUGCUUGGCGGGAAGCCAUACAACUGGAAGUUGAUCACGUCGGAGCCUGGCGCAAUAUUGUGCUCCUUAUGGAAGAGAUUGGCCAGUUUGACACUGCAGAGUCUGUGGCAGAGGAGGCUUUGAAGCACCUCCCUCAAGAGCCUUCAAUCUAUUUUGCACUGGCCAAUGUUUAUGGGAAGUCAGCUAAGUAUGAG